This 474-nucleotide ribosomal RNA is filed under the name uncultured bacterium. Its description in RNAcentral is "bacterial SSU rRNA". It matches the Rfam family "Bacterial small subunit ribosomal RNA", at positions 8 to 526 of the family's 1533-position model. The record is from RNAcentral.
AGAGUUUGAUCCUGGCUCAGAGCGAACGCUGGCGGCAGGCCUAACACAUGCAAGUCGAGCGGUCGUAGCAAUACGGCAGCGGCAGACGGGAGAGUAACACGUGGGAACGCGCCCUUCGGUUCGGAAUAACUCAGGGAAACUUGGGCUAAUACCGGAUACGCCCUUACGGGGAAAGAUUUAUUGCCGAAGGAACGGCCCGCGUCCGAUUAGCUUGUUGGUGAGGUAAUGGCUCACCAAGGCGACGAUCGGUAGCUGGUCUGAGAGGAUGACCAGCCUCACUGGGACUGAGACACGGCCCAGACUCCUACGGGAGGCAGCAGUGGGGAAUAUUGGACAAUGGGCGCAAGCCUGAUCCAGCCAUGCCGCGUGGGUGAUGAAGGCCCUAGGGUUGUAAAGCCCUUUCGGCGGGGAAGAUAAUGACGGUACCCGCAGAAGAAGCCCCGGCUAACUUCGUGCCAGCAGCCGCGGUAAUAC